AGCUUCCAGGAGAAACUUGGUGUUAGUGAUAUUGUUAAAUUUUACUAUUUUUGUGAGAAAUAUUGCAGAAUAUGAUAAAUAAUUGGCCGCCUCAUCUAAUUCCGGCCAGAUGAAACAAUAUUGGUGAGGAGCCCAUUUUACCCCACCUUCGCCUAAUUGGACUAGUAAAAUUUGAGGAUACUUGACUACACUAAACUUAGUCUGAUUAGCAUUGUUACUCUGUAUUUCGAUGAUUCGAAGUAACUUGCUCAGUAAAUGAUCAGUUGGAAGUAGCAUCUGAAGUGGCUUAUGAGUUCCUGAGGAGAGGUAUGGGACGAUGACAAGAUUGAAGAGAAUUUCAAAAGCUCCAUUAAUUAUUUGCUAAGGAAAAAUUGAGCCCAUCCUCCUAGCAAUCCUUCAAUUAUUCAGCCCUAAAUGCCUAAAGUAGAUAUCAAUUUUCGACCAUCCAUCUACGGUUGAACGGAUAGUGAUUGGCUGAGAUUUCAAAAAAGCUGAACCUAUAACAAAUGACUUUCCACUAGCUGAUCCAGUUACUUAUUCACCAUUCGGGAGUACGAUUAAGUUCCUGCUCGAGGAUUCAUCCACUAGGAUUCAUUUUCUUCGUUAUGAUUCCUUGGAUUGGUAGGCAUUAUCAGAGCUAUUGCAGCAUCAUGGGUCAAUGCUCGAUUUUGGCCUAACUGUCAAGCAGUUCAUGUCACGGCUGCUGCCAUAUGCUGGUGAACAAAAUAGAUUUUUGUAGCUAUCAUCAUUCAAUCACUACCUUUUUACUCUCACGGCCUGUAUUGGCCACGCUCCUUCUCCAUAGUAAAGGUAGAAUCCUACACCAUGUUAUAUACUACAUU
Molecule: long non-coding RNA, 842 nt
Organism: Fopius arisanus
Lineage: Eukaryota; Metazoa; Arthropoda; Insecta; Hymenoptera; Braconidae
Exons: 4
Source: RefSeq, a predicted model, not a curated record